UCCAGACUCCUACGGGAGGCAGCAGUGAGGAAUAUUGGUCAAUGGGCGGGAGCCUGAACCAGCCAAGCCGCGUGAGGGAAGAAGGUACAGCGUAUCGUAAACCUCUUUUGUCAGGGAACAAAGGCGGGGACUAGUCCCCGGAUGAGGGUACCUGAAGAAAAAGCAUCGGCUAACUCCGUGCCAGCAGCCGCGGUAAUACGGAGGAUGCGAGCGUUAUCCGGAUUUAUUGGGUUUAAAGGGUGCGUAGGCGGUAUUUUAAGUUAGUGGUAAAACGUCGGGGCUUCACCUUGAUUGGCCAUUAAAACUGGAGUACUAGAGUACAGACGAGGUAGGCGGAAUAAGUUAAGUAGCGGUGAAAUGCUUAGAUAUAACUUAGAACCCCGAUAGCGAAGGCAGCUUACCAGACUGUUACUGACGCUGAAGCACGAGAGCGUGGGUAGCGAACAGGAUUAGAUACCCUAGUAA
RNAcentral lists this ribosomal RNA (465 nucleotides) under uncultured bacterium. RNAcentral describes it as "partial 16S ribosomal RNA". It matches the Rfam family "Bacterial small subunit ribosomal RNA", at positions 330 to 793 of the family's 1533-position model. The record is from RNAcentral.